UUUUUUGGGCAAGGGCUUGUAAGGACAAGCCGGAGGUGCCCGCUCUGGUUUUCUGUAUUCCCAUCCAAAAAGCCGAUAAACUUUUCCCACGAUAUAAUCGAAGAGCAGAGGCAAUAUGUUGACGAUGGGGACCAAGAACAGAGGUAUUAAGCAAAAUAUGCACACCAUCUUUCUAUAUGGUAUGAAAUUGUUCGAUAUGAUCUUGGAGAGAAGACGAGCGAUUAAUCCUCUUCUUGAAUUCUGAUUCUGUUCUACGAAUUUCUGUUUUCUC
This 271-nucleotide unclassified non-coding RNA is filed under the name Hevea brasiliensis (rubber tree). Lineage: Eukaryota; Viridiplantae; Streptophyta; Magnoliopsida; Malpighiales; Euphorbiaceae. The record is from RNAcentral.